Molecule: small nuclear RNA, 131 nt
Organism: Pseudogymnoascus pannorum
Lineage: Eukaryota; Fungi; Ascomycota; Leotiomycetes; Thelebolales; Thelebolaceae
Rfam family: U4 spliceosomal RNA
About the family: U4 small nuclear RNA (U4 snRNA) is a component of the major U2-dependent spliceosome. The structure of U4 snRNA from yeast and human has been reported. U4 snRNA presents a k-turn RNA motif in the 5p-SL related to recognition of Snu13 protein.
Source: Rfam
AACCUAGUGCACGGGCUUUAUGUGUAUCAGUGAGGAUUCGUCCGAGAUCACAUUUUUGCUAGUUGAAAACUAUAACUAUGACCGCUCCUUUCGGUCUUCGGACUGGAAGGGAAUCUUUGGAACAUGACUUU